AUUUGGCAGAUUGCUUGCCUGAAAAGGCUUGGGCUGGUGAUUAUUUGAUCACCAGCCU
RNAcentral lists this small RNA (58 nucleotides) under Aliiglaciecola lipolytica E3. Its description in RNAcentral is "Pseudomonas sRNA P26". It matches the Rfam family "Pseudomonas sRNA P26". From Rfam's summary of the family: P26 is conserved across many Gammaproteobacteria species and appears to be consistently located between the DNA directed RNA polymerase (beta subunit) and 50S ribosomal protein L7/L12 genes. The record is from Rfam by way of RNAcentral. Lineage: Bacteria; Pseudomonadati; Pseudomonadota; Gammaproteobacteria; Alteromonadales; Alteromonadaceae.